UAGUUAUGAAGUAGAAGCCGUAUAUCAUUGGUAAUUGGUCCUAAAGUUUCUACACCGAAUCCGUAAAAUUCGGUACUACGGCUAUUUAUUUAAU
Molecule: non-coding RNA, 94 nt
Filed under: pig gut metagenome
Description: Purine riboswitch
Rfam family: Purine riboswitch aptamer
About the family: Riboswitches are metabolite binding domains within certain messenger RNAs that serve as precision sensors for their corresponding targets. Allosteric rearrangement of mRNA structure is mediated by ligand binding, and this results in modulation of gene expression.
Source: RNAcentral